UACGGAGGGAGCUAGCGUUGUUCGGAAAUACUGGGCGUAAAGCGCACGUAGGCGGCGCAGCAAGUCAGGGGUGAAAUCCCGGGGCUCAACCCCGGAACUGCCCUUGAAACUGCAGUGCUAGAAUUCUGGAGAGGCGAGUGGAAUUCCGAGUGUAGAGGUGAAAUUCGUAGAUAUUCGGAAGAACACCAGUGGCGAAGGCGACUCGCUGGGACGUUACUGACGCUGAGACGCGAAAGCGUGGGGAGCAAACAGG
Molecule: ribosomal RNA, 253 nt
Filed under: uncultured bacterium
Lineage: Bacteria
Description: partial 16S ribosomal RNA
Rfam family: Bacterial small subunit ribosomal RNA
Source: RNAcentral